UUUCUUUUUGAUUACUUGCAAUUUCUCUUUGUUGAAUCCAGAAAUCUGAAUGUGCGAAUGAUCGUUCUUGGUAUUAAUUAGUACACAUAGUCUACAUUACUACAUAAGCAGAUGAAACAAUUUAGCUGAAAUUCAGGUUCUUGAUAUUAAUUAGUACACAUAGUCUACAUUACUACAUAAGCAUAUGAAACAAUUUUGGCUGAAAUCAAGUUCUUGAUAGUAAGAAUUUGUUUUCAUAUACUAUAACAACACAUUCUUCAAAACUUUAUUUUGUUUAGAGCUUGAUUUUGGUACAUUACAAUGUCUCAGAAGAAAGGCCACAUAGGCUAUUGCAUGGGAAACAGGGAUGUGGUCAAGGAAAAAAAAGUACACCUUUUCUCAAGAGCUCUGAUUUUGGAAAGUCAGCAUUUGACAUUAAUCAGAAAGGAAGUAGAAUAACAUCAUGUAUUGCAACUCUAGAGAAUGAUAUCACAGGACCCGGUGAUGGAAAAAUUCAAUUCAUUUGUGGAAUAUAAUGCAGGCUUGUAAAGAUAAAAGCCAGGAGGACUUGAGGUUUUAGGACUACCAGUUAGGUGAUAAAGGAAAAGAAAGUACAACACCCUCUGCUCAAGAGAUCUAGUCUUGGGAAGUCCGCAUUUAGUACUAAUCUGAAAGGAAGUAGAACAACAUUAUUUAUUGCAACUCCAGAGAUAGAUUGCACAAGAUCGGAGGUGGACAAGUUCAAUCCAUUAGUGGAAUGCAGUCUUAUCAAGAAAAAAUCCAGAGGGAGUUGAGGUUUGAGGACGACAGUUAGGUAAUAAAGGUGUACGUAACUUGAUUUCUUGUCUGUAGAUAUCAAAGAAAUCUACCUUGCAUUCAAUUAACACUUUUUAUACUUCAUGGUGGGUGAUUGGCAGGUCAGAAAGGUUGGUGUUCAUAGUGUUUCCAGUACACAGGGAGUGUCAUCGACAACACUCUAGGCCUUUCAUAUCACUUGUAUUUAACCAAUCAACUGUUGAUCAAACUUUUUAUCCUCAUUUUAAAUACAUUUGCAGUGGAAAGAACAGGGCUUGACAUAAUAAAAUGAAAAAUUCUACAGCAACUGCAUCUACCCAUUUCCGAAGUCAUAACAGUUCAUUUUCCAUAUAUUUCCCCCAAUACAUUAUUGAUAAACUCUUUUGCACUUGCAGUAGAGUUGAAUCUAGUGCCUCAGACGUUUCUCCUUUCUCCAUGGAUCCAUUCAAGACCGUUUUCACCUUUAAAACCAACUUCCAGUUCUUCCACUACGUCCAUUUUUUCUCCAUCAAGGAAUGCAUGGGCUUUAUCAACAUCUGCGACUGUAUCACAUAACAAUCUCCACUGCCUCCAUGUUCAGUGUCACCUUCCAAGUAUACUUCGUUAACAAAACUAUCAGGCCACUCCUGUUUUGUCAAAAGAACUUUUCUCCUUCUCCCGUUAUACCUAUAGGUGGCCAGCCACAAUCAACAUUAUGUUUCAAGCACUCCACUUGCUGCCAGUUAAAAUGCUUUUAAGUGUUUCUGAACGUUUAUGCAAUUAUAUCUCAUUUAUACUUAUCUGCCAUUGACUUUCAGUCAUAUAAAUAAUAAAAAAGGCACCUUAUGGUCGAUAAAAUCGGUGAAGAACUUCUAUUGUGGUGUUGUAUAUCUAAGCUAUUGCUAUUCUUGCAGCCUUUGUUCUUUGGUCCUCUGCAGCCAGAAAUGACUCCAUAAAGUUGGAGGAACACUUCAACAACCAACGCUUCUCACCCAUCAACUGUUACUCAGUACAGUUUGCCUGGCUCUUUUGAGGUUGAUAGUAUGCUGGAUUGUAAUCCAUGUAACUAAUCCUCCCAGCACCUGUUAUUUAAGAAGGGUCUAGUUGCUCAGAAAUUGGACUAGGAGUUGGUUAGCCAAGUAUCAACGACCAACAGAAUGUGGCUCAAGGAUCCUACCAAGUUUAGGUUUACGUUCUUGAACAAUGAUCUAUUGCCUUUUCCAUUCAGCAUUGCAUUGUACAUUAUCCUUAUGUGCUUGUGAAAGACAUGAUGCUUUUUGGAUGAAGUGUACAUAUGGAGAAGUGAGAACCUUGUGAGUUAAUUUGAUGUCUGUUCGGUGUGCUUUGUGACGUUGGUACCUUUGCCUUUGGUGCCUAGAUUGUUCUUUUUUUAAUUGUGUCUCUGGUCUUUUUCUCUAAAAACAUUUUCUUGCUACUUGUUUCAGCAUCCUUGGCAUACUCGUAUCGGUAAUCUUAACAUCUUUGACGCACGUGACUUUGGUAUUUGUGAUUAUUAUAUCCAUGUGCUUUUGCUUCGUUUAUCACUUUGGUCUUCGAGUGCAACAAACUGUGUUUUGACUCUUCUUUUCUCUUGAGAUAACAUAUGGCUUAAUGUUCUUUUUGUUCUUUCUUUUGGGGCAUGCUUUUGUAGGGUGCACGGCAGCUUUGGAUGCUGAACAUUACUUGCAAGAAAUCGGUGCCCUAGAGGGGCCUGUCUCUUCUUUUUCUUGCCCCUGUUAUCCUUAUUUGUACUUUCUCAUGCACCAGCUAUACCUUAACAUAUUUGCAGGUUUUACUUUCCGAGAAUCAUGGAAGUGAAUCCAUCACCAGUUACGCCUCCUGCUGAAACACAACCUUCAGUCCAAAUCUCGGUAGAGCACCCAAAUUUGGCAACAUCCAUCCUGUACGGAGUUUCUAGUUUACCUGUCUCUAACAACCCUGCUAUGAUCAGGCAAAAAUAUUCAUCGAUAAUUCGACAUUCAUCUCUAAGUAAAACAUAUGUUGCACCGAAAUACAAACCUACAAGUGAUAUACCAAAGGGGAGAAGUUGGAUUUUAUGUGAGGCUUGUUUAGUAGUUUGUGUCAUGCUUUGGUUGAUCGAUCAGAAGUGUAAGAAUAACACAUAUCAUAUGCAAAGAUUGCAAUUCUCUUUUUCAUGGAUGAAGAAAACGCUUCUGACGUAAAAAGGACAGAAGUCAUCAUCAUUCAAAGGGACUGGGAUUUUUCUAAAAUUUUCCCUUCUACCAACAAUGUUGAAGUUUGAGGUGGGAAUUCACUCAGGGUUCAAGGUGGCAAUAUUCCCUUCUACCACACAGUUCAAUUUUUUGGUUUAUUUUAUGAAACAGGGAUCAGGAACCUCUAAUUGGUGUUACGGCAUUCCAUGAGAGGUGUUCAUAUCCUUUGCUAACAACAAAAACAAAUCCAAUGUUAGUCCCAUAUGUGUGGUCUGGGAUAGAGUGUUCACAGACCCCUACCUUGUACACGUAAAGAGGCUCUUUCCAUAAGAUCCUCAGCACGAGUAAUGCAUAUCAAAGCAGUUAAAAAUUUGGUCUUUUCUACUAUUGUAAGAUAAUUGUAUCAGCAUAAAACAUCUAAAGAACAAUGUAAUAUUAUAGAGUUAUAGAUGAUAAGGGUAGGAUAAAUCUUAAAGGUGCAGAAAUAACUAGCAUUCCUAAAAUUUAUUUGAAAGUGCUUUCAAAUUGCGGCUUUCUAGUUAUGUUGAGAAGUCUAUAGGAAGCUUACCUGAGAUUUGGUGCUCUAUUAACCACGUUACCUUUUAUACAGGGGAACGAGAAGAAAUUGUGUGGAGAGUAUAUUUGAAGUAUUUCCAAAUAGAAUAAGUUGGUAUUUUAUCUUAACCUACAGGUUAUUUGCAUCUUAAUGUAUAUGUUUCUAUGUGUUUAUUUAUUGUAACAGGAUAAUUGUUAUUGCACUUUCUGACAUGACUUGAUCACAGGUAUGGAUUUAGAAAAGAAGUUGUUGAAUGCCACGAUAUAGCUUAUGAUGAACUAUCUAUAGACAUCUCUUCAUAGUUCCAUGGGGAAAUUUCCCUGUGUUGAGAAUAAAAUGACAAAAAAUGUACUGCUGGAGUCAUUGGGCUACUAAAACUGGAUCCCAACAUAUGUAGUUGCUCAAGUCAUGUGUUAUUUAUUUUAAUAUAGUUUGAAGUUUUUCAAGAAUAAAAACUGGUACACCAUGUUUUCGACUUGCCUGCAAGUUGAAAUUGUUAAAAGGAGAUAAGGAGAUGGAGCAAAGAGGUGACACAGCUAAUAAAUGAGAAGAGGGAGAUUGGGCAUGUGGAAAGUAUGAGGGUGCUCGAAUAAAGGGAGAAGGUUAGAUAGGAGUAGGCAAGGGGGGAGCUUAAGGCUCUAGUGGUUGCUGAAGAGUCUAGUUGGAGGCAAAAAUUGAGGGCAUUGUGGUUGACAGAAGGGGAAUUCUAACAAAAUAGGUGUGUGAGGGGGAGGAGGAAGGAAAACUUUGCGUGAGGGGGAGGAGGAAGUGGAGGAGGCCAUUGUAUGGUUUUAUGAACAUUCUUUCAAGGAAGAUAUCAGAUGGAGAUGAAAAUAUUGGGGGCGCUAGUAUUUAACCUAAUAGGCGAGUGGGUGAAGGAGUGGCUAGAAAGGGCUGUAGAAGAAGAAGAGGCGAGGGAUAGUUGUCUUGGUUACAAGGCUCCAAGUCCUGAUGGAUUCUCCUUUGCUUUUUUACAACAAUGUUGGAUGAAAGUCAAAUGUGAGCUGUUGGUGACCAUUGCAGAAUUCAGGGGAGUAUGAGAAAAGUCUUCAUGCAUCCUUUGUUACUAAUGUGCCAAAGAAGGAAAGUGUGACAAGUAUAAAGGACUAUAAACCUAUUAGUCUGGUAGGAAGCAUUUUCAAGAUUUUAUUUAAGGUGCGUUCAAAUAAAUUUAAAAGGUUCAGAAGUACUUUAAAAUUCACUGCCCUUUUUCUGGGUGGGCUGGGGUUGGGUGAUAGAGGGGAGAUGGGUUGAAGAAGCUUUGCUCAAGAUCCACUGAGUUUGGAACCUCGGGGAUUUCUCCGGUUAUAAAAAAUAUACUUAAUUGAAUUGUGCCUAUGUCUGCUGAUGCCGGUAGAUAUAGCAACACGUCUUUCAAAUAUAUGAUAUUUGUUUGAUUUCAAUUUUGUAGAGCUUUCUAGAAGUAGAUUUAUUAACCGAAACAAUUUUAAGCAGAGAUGUAGCUUAGGUUUUCGAGAGCCGUGAUUGACCUCUAGGAUAUCCUAUUUUUGCUCCACAGCGAGCUCUUCGAGAAUAUAGUUGCUGGCUGGAGACCUCGAGCAAUUAAUGUCAGCAGUAAUUAAAUAAGGUACCUCUAGUAGUUAUGAAAUAUCUAAGGAUGUAUAGAACACAAAAGAGAUUUAACAUACGUUAUAACCUGACUUGCUAUUGAAAUUCUCUAUAUUAGUUCUAGACUGCAAAGAAGAUUGUCAAUGAGGAAACAGUUGUAUAUUUGUAUUUUCUUGUAUAUACCAAAUACAGAACAGAGGUGGCAUGCCAAUUCUUAGAUAAAAGCCAAAGAGAUGUUUGGAAAAAGAAGUUUCUUAAAAUUAAGAAGUGUAUUGUAUCCGUAGAAAUAAAUAAACUGAUUCUUGAAUUGUGUUUUCAACCGAUCAAAUUGUGUCUCUACCUCUGUGUGAUGAGUCCAGUAGUUGUUUACUACUUUGGUGCAUUCCACAUUUUCUGUUUCAGUUUAUUUACAUGAAUGGAAACACCACACAAAUAGGAUGAUAAUGCAGCUGUUAUCUUAACUAGAAGAAUUCUGAUUUAGUUUUCUGUCAGUUAGUCAAAUGAAACUAUUCAUUUUGCUCAUUUAGGACUUUAGGUGCUGAUCUUCCAGAUGGGCUCAGUUGUGCCGUUUCAAGUAUCAAUAUGUUUAUACUCGAAGGAUAGAAACAUAACCUCUUAAUUACAAUUUUUUUUUGAUGGAGGGAUAAGUUACCCAAGAGAUUAAGAGGAAAAGGGACAGAAGUAGAUGUGUUAUUUUCAACAGAUGCAAAGGAAGGAAACAUAGAUUCAGUUACUUGACGAAAAAGAAAAGGCAAUGAAGUGGAACCAACAAAAACAUGGAGGAGUUACGGAUAAAUUGUUGUAUCUUUCCUUAUGAUUGUAGUCUUUCUUGAUAUAAUGGUAAGGUUACUAAAUAGAUUAGCAGGUACCGGUGCUUUGAUUUGUCCUCAUUCUUUUAACUUUUAUUCUCUUAACUUUGAGAUGCUUUUAACGAUUCCUUUCUAGCGCUAAUUUAAAGUUAGGACUUUUUUGGCUGUGGCGGUUAUCUGAUUACUAGUUUCUUUAUCAGGUUGAACAAGCAUGGUUACCAUUACAACUAAAAUAUUGGAAUCAAGGGGAUAGAAAAUAUAUUAAGCUAAAGAGAACAUCUUUUGACACUUCAAGAAGUAAUUAAUUUAUAGAUACGAGUAGUGAUGAAAAGACAAUGGUAGAUUUCUUAUGAUGAUAAUGUUAUAACCGUAACAUGUAUAUUUUGAUGAUAAGUUGAUUUAAGCUAGAUUUUAUUGCGUUAAGAUGUAGCACUUAAAAUGAUGACUGAAUGUGAUGAAAUGGGACAAAGUGAAUUUGAUAUCACAUGGAGGAAUGUUGUCUCAAUUGAGAGAAAUAUUGAAAAGAACAUGAUUGAAUCGUUGUGUCUUACAUCAUUACACGUAAACCCUAUUUAUAGACACUAGAAUAAUUUUUUAAUCAAGUAGGAUUGUAUUUUACAAUUCCUAUUUCUAUUUGUAUUCCUAUUCCUAUUCCUAUUCUAAAUUGGAUUGUAUAAACCUAUUCCUAUUCUAAUGGGAUUGUAUAAACUUAUUCAUGUUCUAACACUCCCCCUUAAUCUCGUGCGUACAAUUCAUGUACCUAGCUUGUUACAAAUGUAAUUAAUACGGGGAACAAUGAGGAACUUGGUGAGAUUAUUGCAAGUUGAUCAGUCAACUUCACAAAAUUGACAUUCAUUCUCAGUGUAGUGUCUUCUCAUUAAAUCUUGGAUUUGAUGCGUAUUGACAGACAAUCUCAAUGUGCUUAAUCUUUCUCAUGAGAUAUUGAAUUUGAUGUAUAAUGUCGAUAAAACAUAGUGUGAUAAAAUUACUAUGUUGUACUUUUCAAACCAAACUUUCAAACACUGUUUCAGACCAUACAGUGACUUACAUAAUCGACAUACAAGGCUACUAAACUCACCGUGAGCUACAAAGUGCUCAAACUCUAGUCUAAAGUAUAUGAAUCAUGCUCGAAUCAAUAGAUGAGUCGAUAUUAAACGAGAAAGUCACUGAAAAGUUGGCCGGAACAUGCUCCUAAGCCGGUAUAUUAGAUUUGAUGGAUAAUAGUGGUUAUAAUCUAACAAAUAACAUUAUAUGGGUAGGAUAGGAAUGGUAGCAUGACCCAACUAGAAAAUAGAAGGUCAUAUUGAUGGCACAACCCUAUUGAAAAAGAGAAAUAUAAUAUGAGUAGGGUUUGGAAUGAUGGCACAACCCUCAAAAAUCAAAUUUGAGGAUUCAUCGAAAUGACAAAUAGAAUUGCGCUGAUCAAAUUUGAGGAGUCACCGAAAAGACACGGUGCUAUGCAACUUAGAUAUAAAAAGUAGUUUGGAAAAAUCUACGGUUCUACGUAAAUUAAAUAUGAAAAGUAAUCUGGAGAGAUGCACAGUGCUACACAAAUUAAAUAUGAAAAAUUAGUAAACCGGAAAGAUGACGCGAUGCUGCACAAAAUAGAUAUAGAAAGUAGUCACCGAAAUGAUGACGCGGUGCUAAACAAAUGAAUAUGAAAAAGUAGUCAACGAAAAGAUAGCACGUUGCUACACAAAUACCAACGGAUAUGGGGUUGACACAAAACAAUCAUUGGAAAUUGACCUUGAUAACUUGUCUCACUGAAUUUUCUUUCUCUGAAUAUGGGGUUCAUGCAUAUAUCAUUGGUGUCAUUUUUGUUAACAUAAUUAUUGGCCAGACGGGCGGCAUAUACGGGUAAUAGCCACCCGCUGACAGCAGAAGCUCUUUGAUUUUCUACCAAGAUCGUAGAGGCUUUGAUACCAUGUGAGAAUUAUUGAAAAGAAUAUUAUUGAAUUGUUGUUGUGUCUACAUUAUUACAUUGAGACCCUAUUUAUUGACACUAUAAAACAAUCAUUUACCAAGUAGGAUACUACGUACUAUUUCUAUUCCUAUUUUAAAUAGGAUUGUAUAAACCCACUUCUAUUCUAAUAAGAUUGUAUAAACCUAUUCAUGUUCUAAAAGAUGUGCAGUCUUUUAUUAUGGUGCUUCUAAUAUUUUGUUGUGUGAGGAUUUUAGAAAAGUUCCAGCUAUUAUGUUGCUCUAAAUAAAUAAAAGUGCACUUGCGUUAACAAUUUAAGUUUUUAGAUGAGUUCUUUAAUAUGGUAUUAGAGCGGACAAAGAUUCAAUAUCUGAGUCUUAGUGUCACCCAUAACUAAAAUUAUUCCAUGUGCUUGGGAGCCCACAUGUAAGGGGUUUGAACCCCUUUGACAUUUCUUCAUUUGAAAAUAAUUCUCGUUGUGAAAACACAAAGCCAAGGGAGAUGCUCUUUGAAUAGGAAAAAGUGUGGAUUAAGACUUAAAAGUAUAAAUCUAUAUUUUGAAGAGUCCUAUGUUGCCACUUGGGAGCAUAAAUGAAACUCAGUACUAAAUUAUUCUCGGUCUCCGUUGCUCCUGGAUUAUUUAAUAAUGGCGCUCUAGCUUCUCUUUAGUGUAGCUAUUAUUGGAAGGUGUAGUGUCUUAUGGACUUGUCCUAGUAACUUAAAAAGAGAUCGAAGAGACUUUUUAGUAGACUUACUUUUAAACUUUUUUGUGGCUGAGCAUACCUUAUGCAGAGGCUGAUAUGCCUAUUUCUUCAAUAAUAAGAUGUUCAUCUCCAUAUACAGAAGAAAAUUCAAUAGCAGCAGCAUUUUUUAGAACAAUUUAUUGACAUACCCUUUAUGUAAUAUCCAUAUGCUGUGGAGCGAGUCCAUUAUCACAUGCAUCUGAUUUUCCAUCCUUAUUUCCAGUAGCUUCAUUUUGCAUAGCCACAAGAUCUAGUACAUUGUUGUUUCUCCUGAAACACAAUGCAGAUAUUACAGUUGCAAUGCCAAGCAUAUGUAUGUCAAAUGGCCUUUGUGAUGUUACAAUUUUAGUCUACUGUGUAGUCCACACAACUGACAAACUUGUAGGCAAGAAUGCAUUAUAAACUUUGGAUUUGACAUAUUAAAUGCAUCCAAAAAGCAGAAUAGACAUGUCUAAUAAUUCCAUCCAUAAAGCGGAAGAAACUAUGAAUAUCCAGAACAAGAUAGACUAGAUAGUCUCGAACUCCCAGACUGUUGCGCGUGUCUGUUGGGGAAAUCCGUAAAGUUGGUAAGCCCAAAUUGUUUUUAGCCAACAUUGCACUAGCUUGACAAUAGGAGCUGGCUUCACAUAUACCAGCUUAAAUGAUAUGCAUGCAUCUAAAAAUUCACUUAUAGAUGGAUUUUACUUAGAAACAUCCAUUGAGCAAGAGACAGUAUCUUCUGCCAUUGCUGAUUGAGGCGUCGAGUGUUCUAUAGUAGUAGUUGGUGAUACUAGCAGCGUAGGUUCAUGACCAAUCUCAUUAGGAGGAACUGCCAUUGCUGAUAGAGGCGUCGAGCGUUCUGUAGUAGUAGUUGGUGAUACUAGUAGCAUAGCUCCAAGACCAAUCUCAUUAGGAGGAAUGUAUUUGUUCCUUGCAUAAAUUAGAGUAACAGGUUCAUCUUCGUCAGAUAUUAUUUCAAAGUCUGGUCCCUGGAGAUAGUUAUCAAGUGUUCUCUGGAUUUGAGCAGGUGACAAAAUGCCAUGUCUAGGCUUUGAUAUCUUUCUUCUUGGGAGAGGAUCUUUGUCUGCUUCUCCAAAAAGAUGGUGAACAUUAGUGCACAUAAAACAAUAAGGUACUAAUACAAUUGAUAUUAUCUUUUUUUGUGUGUAGGAGUGGGGGGUAAGCUGUUGCAAAAAUUUGUAUGGUUAAAUAUAUUAGUUUUCCACUUUUUUAUAACCCUUACACUUAAGAAAGGAUGUGAUUCAUGACACGACCUAGAUACUAUCUUACAAGUCCUUGUUGCUCCCAGAUAUGAACUCCAAGAUAAACCUAUAGAGGUCCCUUCAGGGCUUCUAAACUCCUCUUCGGUGGUAAACUGGAAUACUGUACUCCUUAGCAAAGACAGGAAGGGGAGGCUGGGAAAUUGAAAUUUGAGAUUGCAAAAUGGAAGUCUUCUGAAGAAGUCAUUGUGGAGGUACAUUGAGGAGGGAAAUGCUUUCGGGAAAGAGGUGAUUAAAGUUGAGUAUGGUGAGCUAACCCCAUGGUGUACAGAAAGCACAGUUGAACCUUACGGGGUGUGGGAGUAUGGAGAACAAUCACAAGUUUGUGGUCACAAAUGAAGGCAGACUUUUAUAUCAAAGUGGGAAAUGACAGAAACAAGAUCCUGGAAGGAUAUCUGGAUAGAACAAUUUCCUCUUAGGAAUCUCUUUCAAAUUUGUAAGAUGCUAAUGUAGUUGCCUGUUGGGCCAGAAGUCAGAACAGGGAUGGGAUAUAGCCUUCGGAAGGCUUGUAAAUGAUUGGGAGGUGGAAUGGGUUGUAGAGUUACUUGGGAAGAUAGGUGGAAUGAGUAUGGAUUCAGUAAGCAGUGUCUACAGAAGAGGUAGAGCUGAUGGCUGGGACCCAAAACAUCUCUGAAACUAUUUCUGGAAUGGGGACAUUCCUAGAAUAGUGAUAUGCCUCACUUGGCUUAUGAUAAAGAGGGUCUGCUUCUCCAAAAAGAUGGUGAACAUUAGUGCACAUAAAACAAUAAGGUACUAAUGCAAUUGAUAUUAUCUUUGUUUGUGUGUGUAGGAGUGGGGGGUGAGCUGUUGCAAAAAUUUGUAUGGUUAAAUAUAUUAGUUUUCCACUUUUUUAUAACCCUUACACUUAAGAAAAGAUGUGAUUCAUGACACGACCUAGAUACUAUCUUACAAAUCCUUGUUGCUCCCAGAUAUGAACUCCAAGAUAAACCUUUAGAGGUCCCUUCAGGGCUUCUAAACUCCUCUCCGGUUGUAAAUUGGAACACUGUACUCCUUAGCAAAGACAGGAAGGGGAGGCUGGGAAAUUGAAAUUUGAGAUUGCAAAAUGGAAGUCUUCUGAAGAAGUCAUUGUGGAGGUACAUUGAGGAGGGAAAUGCUUUCGGGAAAGAGGUGAUUAAAGCUGAGUAUGGUGUGCUUAACCCCAUGGUGUACAGUGAGCACAGUUGAACCUUACGGGGUGUGGGAGAAUGGAGAACAAUCACAAGUUUGUGGUCACAAAUGAAGGCAGAGUUUUAUAUCAAAGUGGGAAAUGACAGUAAAAGAAGAUUCUGGAUAGAACAAUUUCCUCUUAGGAAUCUCUUUCAAAUUUGUGAGAUGCUAAUGUAGUUGCCUGUUGGGCCAGAGGUCAGAACAGGGAUGGGAUAUAGCCUUCGGAAGGCUUGUAAAUGAUUGGGAGGUGGAAUGGGUUGUAGAGUUACUAGGGAAGAUAGGUGGAAUAAGUAUGGAUUCAGUAAGCAGUGUCUACAGAAGAGGUCUCCAGCUGAUGGCUGGUACCCAAAACAUCUCUGAAACUAUUUCUGGAAUGGGGACAUUCCUAGAAUAGUGAUAUGCUUCACUUGGCUUGUGAUAAAGAGGGCAUGUUUAACGCAGCUUGAUAUUUUAAUCAUUUCCUCUUCGAGACAAGCUGAAGAGCCAUCCUGUCCAGAAACUUCUUUGCCAACUUCCAGCUUUUGGUCAUCACGAGAUAACAGAUGCGGCUUCAUCUUAGAAGGUAAGUCUGUGCUUCCAUGUUUGGGAACAUAGUCAUCUAGUGUCUCUUUAGUUCGCCAUCUUAAUCCACAUGCAUUGCAAAGCACUGGUUUUGCAGUUGGCCCAGGUCUCCAUAGGCGGGUUUCUGUUUGAGUUCACAAAUAAUUAGCGUUUAAAUGGGACAAUAUAUGAUUAAAAACUUAUAGGUAAAUUAUCUCAGAAACUAAAGCACAAUGAUCAUUGACGAUUAAGAUUUUUUGUAUAAGGUUUAGAAUGUACUGCACGAGAACAUAAGCGUCACGGAAGUGGAGUACGUAUAGCGGGGAAUAUUAUUGGCAAAACAAGAGGAAAUAUCUUUCUGUGAAACAUAUAUAGACUUUUAGGAUGUGUCAACUGCUUUUACACACAUUUUUAUCACCAUUUUAUGGCACCAUACAGCAUAGUUGAACGAGCUUGAUGGUGGAAAUAUUGAAAAGGAUUUGCUUGUUGUGUUAAGGAACAAUGCAAAAUAGUUAACCUCUUGGCAGACUGCAUUUCUUUGCAUGAUAUUUUAAGGAGGAACGCUAUCAACAGUAAAAUGAUUCCCCCACCCCCCCUAAGCAAAUCACCCACUACUCUCCUGCACUGCAAGCUACUGGCCUGACCUCUCACCACCACCGGCGACCAGGUACGGAAUCUCCAUGCCCUCUUUCUUUCUCCCUUUCUGUGUUUUUUUUUUGUUGCACUGCCACCACCCGUCAACAAGAGUCAGUUACCCCAUCCUGAUGACUGACGACCGACAGACCAACGGAGUAUAUACAUUGUAUUUUUUAUCCCCAUCAACUCCUAGGUAUGAUGAUCCACCACACCUUUAUAUGUCUUAUCUAGACCUGAUUUUUCCUUGAGAGAUUGUUCAGACCCUUAUUAUUGCUUGAUUGUUAAACUGAUUUCCUUAAAUCGAUAUUGUGUUUGUGAAUUUAUUAUUGUGCCCUUGUGAAUAUCACUACAUUUUUCUUGGUUCCUACAUUGAACUGGUAUCUUUGCUGUUGCUUUUUUUUAAUGUUCUUCAUUGUAUUGUGUGACUGCCACUUUCUGAUUUAGGGUUUUUGACGUUACGGGUUGCCCUGCUUGAUUAUUUACACUUGGUUAUUCUAUAACUGGAAAGUGGCUUCAAAAGGUUUGAUGGUAGUUAAAAGACAUGUCAAUGAUUUGGGGCGAGGUCAGGUGUGGUAAGGGUACCAAGGGAACUCCUCAGUUGUGAGUUGUCUUGGAACACAGGGAUAUUGUCGAGGAUGUCAAUAGAGUUGGUGAUUAUAAUAAAGAGAAGGAGGAUCAAUAUACCUUGUGUUUAGGAUACCUAAUAGGUAGGAACUAAGGCUAGGGAUAUAGGAGGGUUCAAGUUAAGGUACUCAAGAAGUUUGAGGAUUAAAAAUGGAAUAGGUAUUAGUCUAUGUUGCUCAGAUUUUUCAAAAAUUUCAAGAGGUGCAUGUCAGAUACUCCAAAA
Molecule: non-coding RNA, 12974 nt
Organism: Solanum lycopersicum (tomato)
Lineage: Eukaryota; Viridiplantae; Streptophyta; Magnoliopsida; Solanales; Solanaceae
Source: RefSeq, a predicted model, not a curated record